RNAcentral lists this long non-coding RNA (517 nucleotides) under Numida meleagris (helmeted guineafowl). RNAcentral's name for it is "lncRNA (ENSNMEG00000019085.1)". Lineage: Eukaryota; Metazoa; Chordata; Aves; Galliformes; Numididae. The record is from RNAcentral.
GCCAGUUUAACAGCUGGGCAAUAGUAUAGACCAUUGCCUUAUUCUAAAUCCCAACUCCAGAGAAGACGUGUACCGCUAUCACAUAAUGCCAUGACCAGUGUGCUGACCUUGCUGUCCAAGGAAAAACUUCAUCUCCUGGCCCCAUAUUCUAGAAGACUGAAGAUUUCAUUCCAUGAAAGGUUUUCUUGCAACCUACAUAGCACUGGCUGGGCAAGCAGAAGUUCUGAGUCGCACUGCGCCUCCCAUGCCAGUGAAGGCAAACUUCUGGCAAAGAACACCAAUGUUAUCACAGCCCCCUGCUCACUGGCUUCUCAUCGUCCUUCCUGCAUCCUGGCCCUGCAGGAAAGCAUGAUAUACCUGGGGUUGUUGGGGAAGGGAAGCUUCUUGGUAUGAAAUGCAGUGGUACGAAAUUAAUGGUGGAGGCUUCUCAUCAGCCUUUCUUUGUUCUUCCUGCUGCCUCUAAGAACCUGGCCAUGAGAUUCAAGUAGACAAAGGAGCUGAGUUUUUUUCAUCCUAU